RNAcentral lists this ribosomal RNA (254 nucleotides) under uncultured bacterium. RNAcentral describes it as "partial 16S ribosomal RNA". It matches the Rfam family "Bacterial small subunit ribosomal RNA", at positions 524 to 776 of the family's 1533-position model. The record is from RNAcentral.
UACAGAGGAUGCAAGCGUUAUCCGGAAUUAUUGGGCGUAAAGCGCGCGCAGGCGGUUUCUUAAGUCUGAUGUGAAAGCCCACGGCUCAACCGUGGAGGGUCAUUGGAAACUGGGGAACUUGAGUGCAGAAGAGAAAAGCGGAAUUCCACGUUGUAGCGGUGAAAUGCGUAGAGAUGUGGAGGAACACCAGUGGCGAAGGCGGCUUUUUGGUCUGUAACUGACGCUGAGGCGCGAAAGCGUGGGGAGCAAACAGG